Molecule: transfer RNA, 76 nt
Filed under: Cupriavidus sp.
Lineage: Bacteria; Pseudomonadati; Pseudomonadota; Betaproteobacteria; Burkholderiales; Burkholderiaceae
Description: tRNA-Thr
Rfam family: tRNA
About the family: Transfer RNA (tRNA) molecules are approximately 80 nucleotides in length.
Source: RNAcentral
GCCGGAGUAGCUCAUAAGGUAGAGCAGUUGAUUUGUAAUCAUCAGGUGGCGGGUUCGAGUCCUGCAGCCGGCACCA